RNAcentral lists this ribosomal RNA (178 nucleotides) under uncultured Polaromonas sp. RNAcentral describes it as "partial 16S ribosomal RNA". It matches the Rfam family "Bacterial small subunit ribosomal RNA", at positions 1209 to 1382 of the family's 1533-position model. Lineage: Bacteria; Pseudomonadati; Pseudomonadota; Betaproteobacteria; Burkholderiales; Comamonadaceae. The record is from RNAcentral.
AGGGGCUACACACGUCAUACAAUUGGGAAUGGUACAAAGGGUCGCCAACCCGCGAGGGGGAGCCAAUCCCAUAAAGCCAUUCGUAGUCCGGAUCGGCAGUCUGCAACUCGACUGCGUGAAGUCGGAAUCGCUAGUAAUCGUGGAUCAGAAUGUCACGGUGAAUACGUUCCCGGGUCUU